This 433-nucleotide ribosomal RNA is filed under the name uncultured bacterium. Its description in RNAcentral is "partial 16S ribosomal RNA". It matches the Rfam family "Bacterial small subunit ribosomal RNA", at positions 29 to 507 of the family's 1533-position model. The record is from RNAcentral.
CGCGCACGCUGGCGGCAUGCCUAACACAUGCAAGUCGAACGAGACCUUCGGGUCUAGUGGCGCACGGGUGCGUAACGCGUGGGAACCUGCCCUUAGGUUCGGAAUAACUCCCCGAAAGGGGUGCUAAUACCGGAUAAUGUCUUCGGACCAAAGAUUUAUCGCCUUUGGAUGGGCCCGCGUUGGAUUAGCUAGUUGGUAGGGUAAAAGCCUACCAAGGCGACGAUCCAUAGCUGGUCUGAGAGGAUGAUCAGCCACACUGGGACUGAGACACGGCCCAGACUCCUACGGGAGGCAGCAGUGGGGAAUAUUGGACAAUGGGCGAAAGCCUGAUCCAGCAAUGCCGCGUGAGUGAUGAAGGCCUUAGGGUUGUAAAGCUCUUUUACCCGGGAUGAUAAUGACAGUACCGGGAGAAUAAGCGCCGGCUAACUCCGUG